RNAcentral lists this ribosomal RNA (496 nucleotides) under uncultured bacterium. RNAcentral's name for it is "partial 16S ribosomal RNA". It matches the Rfam family "Bacterial small subunit ribosomal RNA", at positions 28 to 506 of the family's 1533-position model. The record is from RNAcentral.
GAUGAACGCUGGCGGCGUGCCUAAUACAUGCAAGUCGAGCGAACAGACGCGGAGCUUGCUCCUCUGACGUUAGCGGCGGACGGGUGAGUAACACGUGGAUAACCUACCUAUCAGACUGGGAUAACUUCGGGAAACCGGAGCUAAUACCGGAUAAUAUAUUGAACCGCAUGGUUCAAUAGUGAAAGACGGUUUUGCUGUCACUUAUCGAUGGAUCCGGGCCGGAUUAGCUAGUUGGUGAGGUAACGGCUUUCCAAGGCAACGAUGCGUAGCCGACCUGAGAGGGGGAUCGGCCACACUGGAACUGAGACACGGUCCAGACUCCGACGGGAGGCAGCAGUAGGGAAUCUUCCGCAAUGUGCGAAAGCCUGACGAAGCAACGCCGCGUGAGUGAUGAAGGGCUGCGGAUCGUAAAACUCUGUUAUUAGGGAAGAACAAAUGUGUAAGUAACGAUGCACGUCUUGACGGUACCGAAUCAGAAAGCCACGGCUAACUACGU